AUCACACAAGGGUGACAUCUAAUAAGAUUGGAACAAUACAGAGAAGAUUAGCAUGGCCCCUGCACAAUGAUGACAAACAUGUGAUGAAGAUUUCUCAACUGGAA
Molecule: non-coding RNA, 104 nt
Organism: Nelumbo nucifera (sacred lotus)
Lineage: Eukaryota; Viridiplantae; Streptophyta; Magnoliopsida; Proteales; Nelumbonaceae
Source: Rfam